RNAcentral lists this long non-coding RNA (617 nucleotides) under Pongo abelii (Sumatran orangutan). Its description in RNAcentral is "bidirectional promoter lncRNA". Lineage: Eukaryota; Metazoa; Chordata; Mammalia; Primates; Hominidae. The record is from RNAcentral.
GCAGUUUGCAAUGAUGUGGCUGAGAUACCCUUGUGCUGUUACUUUAAAGGUACAUUUACGUAUCUUUCAACGCAGUUUGUACCUUUGUUCAGGGUUCUAUUGAACUUUCUCUGUGCUCUUUAGAAAACUGUCGAAUAAAGAACUCAAAUGAUGCUGUUUUUGGACAGGGAGGUCAUGGGCCAAGCACAAAGCGGCAAAAGGGUGGAAUUGAGGUACCUGACAUUGCUGAACCCAUGCCUGAUGCCACAUUAGCUCAGGACUACCUACAUGGACAUGGAUAUUUCCAGUGAAAGAAAGAAGAAAGCAUCCUUUUCUCUUGACUGUGCAGAAAAAAAUUCUAUGUUUCUUUGAUUCUCCAUUUUACUAGAUGCCAUACCUUUGUAAUUACUUCAUGUGGAGUCUUGACCAAGAUUCAGGAAAUACUAGAGCUUUCAGUCCCGGAAGGUUACUCUGGGCAUUACUAGUCCCCAUCAUUAUGAGUUGAGUUUUACUAGUUAAUUUCAGAUGAAAAAUAUUUGUCUUUCCCCAAAUUCUGGGGUUAUGUAUUUUACUACCUAUGAACUGACAACUGUAUCUCCAGUAAUUACAAUUUCCAACAAAAUGUUAUAGGAAUAAAG